RNAcentral lists this ribosomal RNA (451 nucleotides) under uncultured Vibrio sp. RNAcentral describes it as "bacterial SSU rRNA". It matches the Rfam family "Bacterial small subunit ribosomal RNA", at positions 64 to 499 of the family's 1533-position model. The record is from RNAcentral. Lineage: Bacteria; Pseudomonadati; Pseudomonadota; Gammaproteobacteria; Vibrionales; Vibrionaceae.
AAACGAGUUAUCUGAACCUUCGGGGAACGAUAACGGCGUCGAGCGGCGGACGGGUGAGUAAUGCCUAGGAAAUUGCCCUGAUGUGGGGGAUAACCAUUGGAAACGAUGGCUAAUACCGCAUGAUGCCUACGGGCCAAAGAGGGGGACCUUCGGGCCUCUCGCGUCAGGAUAUGCCUAGGUGGGAUUAGCUAGUUGGUGAGGUAAGGGCUCACCAAGGCGACGAUCCCUAGCUGGUCUGAGAGGAUGAUCAGCCACACUGGAACUGAGACACGGUCCAGACUCCUACGGGAGGCAGCAGUGGGGAAUAUUGCACAAUGGGCGCAAGCCUGAUGCAGCCAUGCCGCGUGUGUGAAGAAGGCCUUCGGGUUGUAAAGCACUUUCAGUCGUGAGGAAGGUGGUGUAGUUAAUAGCUGCAUUAUUUGACGGUUAGCGACAGAAGAAGCACCGGCUA